The submitters of this non-coding RNA (68 nucleotides) gave its source as unclassified sequences. The record is from Rfam.
UGCGCCCUGCGCAAGCCGAAGCCCUGCGUACCUACGCGGGGUAUUUUUGUAGGCUGCGCCGGGGCGCA